UACGAAGGGGGCUAGCGUUGCUCGGAAUCACUGGGCGUAAAGCGCACGUAGGCGGCUUUUUAAGUCAGGGGUGAAAUCCUGGAGCUCAACUCCAGAACUGCCUUUGAUACUGGCGAUCUCGAGUCCGGGAGAGGUGAGUGGAACUGCGAGUGUAGAGGUGAAAUUCGUAGAUAUUCGCAAGAACACCAGUGGCGAAGGCGGCUCACUGGCCCGGUACUGACGCUGAGGAGCGAAAGCGUGGGGAGCGAACAGG
Molecule: ribosomal RNA, 253 nt
Filed under: uncultured bacterium
Lineage: Bacteria
Description: partial 16S ribosomal RNA
Rfam family: Bacterial small subunit ribosomal RNA
Source: RNAcentral